GAGGCAAUUCAAGGAUCCCAACAGCUUCAAAUGAGAGAGUGUCUAUGUAGCUGGUUUAAUUCAGUCUACUAACAUAAUUAAAAGGAAAAAGUAGAUGAAUAUAUUUUUCCAGGUGUAACAAUCAAGAAGGCAAAUUAAGUAAAUAGGAAUUUACUUUGAGAAGCCAUUUAUUUUGCAGCCUUCAGUCCAAAAAAAGUCAACCUUUUCAGAAUUUUUUAUAUAAGUUGUAGGUCAUUUUUAUAACAAUAAAAAAUCAAAUAUUUAAUUUCCUACAUCUGUUUACCUUAACUGGCCCAUUCCUAUAAGCUUA
This 310-nucleotide long non-coding RNA is filed under the name Pan troglodytes (chimpanzee). RNAcentral's name for it is "long non-coding RNA NONPTRT004001". The record is from RNAcentral. Lineage: Eukaryota; Metazoa; Chordata; Mammalia; Primates; Hominidae.